UCGUUUUACAGAAAUGAGGAAAAUAUUUUGCAAAAAUAAAUACACGUCUCUGACAGAUUGAUUUAUUAUGAAACUUUUUUCUUUUCCAGACAUUGAGAAAACAGAAGUGUGUGACUCCCUGAAAAACCUACUUUAAGAUAUACAUGUACAGUUGACAACCAAAGAUCUUGGACCCAUGCUGCAAUUUCAGCCACUGCUGCUCCUUCCCCUUGCUGUGUCUGGGGAUGAACUGUUGGUAGCCCCUUGUGCUGCCCACCCUGCUCAGGACCCUGGGUCCCUGGCAGCUCCAUGCUCCUUUGCGUCUUGCAGAGAAGCUCUGCUUUUCCUGUUUCCUGAUGUGGAACCUGUUUCUGGCCCCAUGGCGUUACGUACAUUUAAGGAAUCAAAACUAUUCCAAUCAGUUCCUCCCACGAAGCUACAGAAGAGCUAA
RNAcentral lists this long non-coding RNA (430 nucleotides) under Anas platyrhynchos platyrhynchos (common mallard). RNAcentral describes it as "lncRNA (ENSAPLG00000020975.1)". The record is from RNAcentral. Lineage: Eukaryota; Metazoa; Chordata; Aves; Anseriformes; Anatidae.